UGGUUUACAUCGAGCUCGGUACCCGGGGUAUCCUCUAGAGUCGACCUGCAGGCAUGCAAGCUUCGAUUAUAACUAUAGUGUCACCUAAAUAGCUUGGCGUAAUCAUGGUCAUAGCUGUUUCCAAGCCUGACGCAGCCAUGCCGCGUGUGUGAAGAAGGCCUUCGGGUUGUAAAGCACUUUCAAUUGGGAGGAAAGGCUCACGGUUAAUAACCGUGAGCUGUGACGUUACCUUUAGAAGAAGCACCGGCUAACUCCGUGCCAGCAGCCGCGGUAAUACGGAGGGUGCAAGCGUUAAUCGGAAUUACUGGGCGUAAAGCGCGCGUAGGUGGUCUGUUAAGUCGGAUGUGAAAGCCCCGGGCUCAACCUGGGAACUGCAUCCGAUACUGGCAGACUAGAGUGCGGGAGAGGGAGGUAGAUCUCUAUGUGUAGCAGUGAAAUGCGUAAUCACUAGUGAAUUCGCGGCCGCCUGCAGGUCGACCAUAUGGGAGAGCUCCCAACGCGUUGGAUGCAUAGCUUGAGUAUUCUAUAGUGUCACCUAAAUAGCUUGGCGUAAUCAUGGUCAUAGCUGUUUCCA
Molecule: ribosomal RNA, 574 nt
Filed under: uncultured Gammaproteobacteria bacterium
Lineage: Bacteria; Pseudomonadati; Pseudomonadota; Gammaproteobacteria
Description: bacterial SSU rRNA
Rfam family: Bacterial small subunit ribosomal RNA
Source: RNAcentral